Long non-coding RNA from Centruroides sculpturatus (bark scorpion), 238 nucleotides. RefSeq lists it as uncharacterized. The transcript is spliced from 3 exons. NCBI's taxonomy places the organism in Eukaryota, Metazoa, Arthropoda, Arachnida, Scorpiones, Buthidae. The record is from RefSeq and is a predicted model, not a curated record.
ACAAAACAAAAUAGAAUAUAUGAUUCAGAUAAUCAGAUUGGAAUAAAUAAAGAGGAAAACAAAAUAGUAGAAUCAAAACUUUUUAUAGAAGGAACAGUUAUGGGUUCCAUUAAUAAUGAAAAAACAAAGGUCUCUUCAGAUUGUUUGAAGGAAGAUAAUUUCAAGAUAUUACAAUCAUAUGCUGCUUUUCCAAAGCAUAAUGAUGAGUGGAAUGAAUUAGCCCAAGUAAUUUUAAAGG